Molecule: non-coding RNA, 1500 nt
Organism: Camellia sinensis
Lineage: Eukaryota; Viridiplantae; Streptophyta; Magnoliopsida; Ericales; Theaceae
Source: RefSeq, a predicted model, not a curated record
UAUGUCAGCAGUUAAUUUUUAUCAUUUUCUUGCACUAUGUACAUCCGUAUAAACCUCUACCCCUCUACCUCUGUAUCUCAUUAGAAGUAAUUUGGUCUUGUGAUGGUUGCUUUAAUUAUUUGUAUUUGGCUUCAUGGCAUAUUUUAAUAUUUUGUUUUGAAUUGAAUGCUUGUUUUUUUUUGGAUCCCAGAAAUUAUGUUGUCCAAUACGUUAUACAGGAGAUCCCUUUAGCUGCUGCCGGCUUGAUUUCUCAGUUUGAAGGGCACUAUGUGCACCUCUCGAUGCAAAAAUUCAGCAGUCAUGUUGUUGAAAAAUGCCUCAAACAUUUUGAAGAGAGCCGUCCAAGAAUCAUCCAUGAAUUGCUUUCAGUGCCUCACUUUGAACAGUUGCUGCAAGACCCUUUUGCCAACUAUGUCAUUCAAUCUGCACUUGAAGUUAGCAAGGAACAAUACUGGGCUCCUCCAAACUUCAGACGAUCAUUGUCAGUGAAAUUGAAGUUUUUGGCUGCUAGUAGGAAAUUAAUUAAGGUGAUGUUUAUGUUCGUCCAUCUGCAAAAAUACAUCCAACUGCUAAGAUUGGCCCUAAUGUUUCAAUCUCAGCAAAUGUUCGUAUAGCAGCAGGUGUAAGGCUUAUAAGUUGCAUCAUCUUAGAUGAUGUUUAAAUAAAGGAAAAUGCAGUAGUUAUGCAUGCUAUUGUUGGAAGGAAAUCAUCUAUUGGGAAAUGGUCGCGUGCCUAGGAGACUACAAUGCCAAGCUUGGAAUCACCAUCCUUGGAGAAGCUGUGACAGUUGAAGAUGAAGUCAUGGUGACUAACAGCAUCGUGCUCCCAAACUAGACCCUUAAUGUUAGUGUACAGGAGGAUAUCAUUCUGUGAGGACAAGGAACCAAGAUCCGGCUGGAAUUCAAUGCAGUGUUUAGUUGUGAUUCUUGAAUUUUUUUUUUUAUUGUCAGAGUAAUUAUAGAUUUUUAUGUCAAAAGAGCACUUAUUGAUAGAUACAAUAGUAAAUUGUGUUACUGAAGUAGAGUUUCAGUAGGGAACAAUUUUUGCCACAACACAUGAUUUUUUUUUUUUGGAACACAACACAUGAUGUUUGAGAAAGCUGAAUGCCUUUUUAUAAACUAUAUUUAUAGAAAGUGAAAGUUGACAGCUUGAAACUCUUCUGUUAGGAGGAAAGCAAAUUUAGAAUUUCAAAUGACUUUUCUAUUUUUCAAUCUUUCAGGCACAUUUGCAGUUUUGCCUUUGUGUAAUGGAACAACUUGCACAAGCCAAUCUUCAAACACACACUUCAAAAUAACAAACCUAACCUAGUUACUCUUACAACCAAGCCCAAACUGCUACACAUUGAGUAAAUUCCGUGCAGCAAGAAGAGCCACUCGAAGUCGAUUUCCUCCCUUUUGUUGAAGUUGAUUUCAUCUGUUUUUUGCAGCAACAAGAAGGAUAAAAGAUGGAAAUGCUGAAACACUCUAUCCUAGAUCAUCCUUUGCCAUCAAUUGUACUGGU